Molecule: ribosomal RNA, 419 nt
Filed under: uncultured bacterium
Lineage: Bacteria
Description: bacterial SSU rRNA
Rfam family: Bacterial small subunit ribosomal RNA
Source: RNAcentral
AUUGAACGCUGGCGGCAUGCCUUACACAUGCAAGUCGAACGGCAGCGCGGGAGCAAUCCUGGCGGCGAGUGGCGAACGGGUGAGUAAUAUAUCGGAACGUGCCCAGUAGUGGGGGAUAGCCCGGCGAAAGCCGGAUUAAUACCGCAUGAGACCUGAGGGUGAAAGCGGGGGAUCGCAAGACCUCGCGCUACUGGAGCGGCCGAUAUCAGAUUAGCUAGUUGGUGGGGUAAAGGCCUACCAAGGCAACGAUCUGUAGUUGGUCUGAGAGGACGACCAGCCACACUGGGACUGAGACACGGCCCAGACUCCUACGGGAGGCAGCAGUGGGGAAUUUUGGACAAUGGGCGCAAGCCUGAUCCAGCAAUGCCGCGUGCAGGAAGAAGGCCUUCGGGUUGUAACUAGCUUUGUUCUAGGGAAGG